Molecule: non-coding RNA, 73 nt
Organism: Momordica charantia (bitter melon)
Lineage: Eukaryota; Viridiplantae; Streptophyta; Magnoliopsida; Cucurbitales; Cucurbitaceae
Source: the annotation of a RefSeq genome assembly
UUCGUUGUAGUCUAGUUGGUUAGGAUACUCGGCUCUUACUCGAGAAACCCAGGUUCGAUUUCUGGCAACAAAU